Molecule: ribosomal RNA, 253 nt
Filed under: uncultured bacterium
Lineage: Bacteria
Description: partial 16S ribosomal RNA
Rfam family: Bacterial small subunit ribosomal RNA
Source: RNAcentral
UACAGGGGGAGCAAGCGUUAUCCGGAAUGAUUGGGCGUAAAGCGUCCGCAGGUGGCAAUGUAAGUCUGCUGUCAAAGCGUCUGGCUCAACCAGAUAAAGGCAGUGGAAACUACAUAGCUGGAGUAAGGUAGGGGUAGAGGGAAUUCCUGGUGUAGCGGUGAAAUGCGUAGAGAUCAGGAAGAACACCGGUGGCGAAAGCGCUCUGCUGGACCUUAACUGACACUGAGGCACGAAGGUCAGGGGAGCAAACGGG